AUUAACCCCACCCAUAUUGUUUUGCCACACCCUGUCAGACCCUUAUAAAUAUUUAGUCAGACAUCUGACAGUCAUCAACCAGUCUGAGAGGAGAAAGGUGUAUGAUUCUUGUACCAUUAACUUUACGCUGUUGAUUACUGGUUGAAACUACUGUACAGUACUGUAAACCUUCAAAUCUUCAAGCAACAAGAUGUUGAAGCUAACUCUUACUGCAGGUCUCUGUUUGAUCUUCACCAGCUUGG
This is a long non-coding RNA of Labrus mixtus (cuckoo wrasse), 242 nucleotides long. RefSeq lists it as uncharacterized. NCBI's taxonomy places the organism in Eukaryota, Metazoa, Chordata, Actinopteri, Labriformes, Labridae. The transcript has 4 exons. The record is from RefSeq and is a predicted model, not a curated record.